AACGCAUCUUGCGCUCCUUGGUAUUCCGAGGAGCAUGCCUGUUUGAGUGUCGUGAAUCACUCUCAAUCUCAAAUAUGUUUACAUGUUUGAUAUUGGAUUUGGGUGCUGCCGUGUUUCCACGGACUCAUCCCUAAAUGUAUUAGCGAUCUGCCCCCGAUCACACACAAUGUGAUAAGUUUUUAAGCAUUGUUAUUGAUCCGGUGAAAGGUGGCUUCUAACCGUCGUCACAGACAAACUUGUAUGUACAUAUAUGCGCAUACAUGUCAUUUGACCUCAAAUCAGGCAGGACUACCCGCUGAACUUAA
RNAcentral lists this unclassified non-coding RNA (305 nucleotides) under uncultured Geastrales. RNAcentral's name for it is "sequence contains 5.8S rRNA gene, ITS2, 28S rRNA gene". The stretch from base 1 to 52 matches the Rfam family "5.8S ribosomal RNA", at positions 103 to 154 of the family's 154-position model. The record is from RNAcentral. Lineage: Eukaryota; Fungi; Basidiomycota; Agaricomycetes; Geastrales.